Molecule: long non-coding RNA, 482 nt
Organism: Sitophilus oryzae (rice weevil)
Lineage: Eukaryota; Metazoa; Arthropoda; Insecta; Coleoptera; Curculionidae
Exons: 2
Source: RefSeq, a predicted model, not a curated record
CAAAAUGUAAUCCUGAAUUGCUUCGUUAAGGAUCGUAACAUCGUUAGAGACAUCACAAAUGGGAAUUUUCUUGAAACUGUAGACCUUAAAAUGCUCCCCGAAGAAAUAUCACAUGCCGUUCCUGAUGAGGCUGUUGAUAUCCACAUGAUAAGAAGUUUUUGCACCGAGAAAGCCUUUGAAAGAAUAACCAAUCUAGUUGAGCAGAAAUAACCAAUCUAGUUAACCAAUCAGUUGAGCAGAAACGACUUCAACAAAGUUGGUUGUGUUCUGUGUGCAGUGAAGGCACGCAUAAAAAUCAUAUGUCACUUUGUUGCAGUAGAUGCCUUCUAUGGAGACAUAUCCGUUGUGCAGGAUUGACUAAGCGACCUAAAUCAAAACUGUAGUUUUGCAGAGAAUGCUAUCUGUAGCAUUAUUAUUUUUAAAUUGACGUAGUAUUAUUUUUAAGUUGUCAGUUUAUAAUUUGCAAUAAAAACCUGAAAACC